Molecule: RNA transcript, 550 nt
Organism: Hyla sarda
Lineage: Eukaryota; Metazoa; Chordata; Amphibia; Anura; Hylidae
Exons: 2
Source: RefSeq, a predicted model, not a curated record
AUGACGGAAGAAGCACGCUUACACGUGUGAAACAGCCGGCGUAGCCUCCAAGCGCCCACUUACCUGCACCGAUGCUGUGAUCCAGCCUUUCCGUGGACCGGACCACCAUGCUGAGCAGUCUUCAUUGAGCGACCCCUGCAAAUGUAAAUCUUGGUUUUGUACCCUCGGACCCUCCUUCAUAUUCACAAGCAACAAACUAUGGACCACCACCACCAUUUCAGCAACCUGCACCGUCACCCCCACCACCCCCAUAUCCUUGUUUAGCACCAACUUCCUCAUCUGAUGUUUCUAAUGAAUGGAAAGACUAUUUACAACCACCACCGUACUCUGAAUAAGGACCUUUACGAUUGAAGGAAGAAAAUACAGUUAUUGACGGAACUGAUAAUUAUAUGGAAUAUUUCUAGGAUAUGCUGUCUGUUGAGGGUCCGACUGCUGUGGAGAGCCUUUGGUCUCUUCAAGUAUUUCCUUGCUUAAAGCUCGUGUUGUGAUGGUCCCCAACUAGCAAGGGCAGUGUCUGCCAAGCAUUAAAAAGUCUUGUUGCCUACUUUGU